CCUACGGGUGGCAGCAGUGGGGAAUAUUGCACAAUGGGGGAAACCCUGAUGCAGCGACGCCGCGUGAGUGAAGAAGUAUCUCGGUACGUAAAGCUCUAUCAGCCGGGAAGAAAAUGACGGUACCUGACUACGAAGCCCCGGCUAACUACGUGCCAGCAGCCGCGGUAAUACGUAGGGGGCAAGCGUGAUCCGGAUUUAAUGGGUGUAAAGGGGGCGUAGGCGGCAGCACAAGUCUGGAGUGAAAGCCCGGGGCUAAACCCCGGAACUGCCUUGGAAACUGUGCGGCUGGAGUGCAGGAGGGGUAAGCGGAAUUCCGAGUGUAGCGGUGAAAUGCGUAGAUAUUAGGAGGAACACCGGUGGCGAAGGCGGCUUACUGGACUGUAACUGACGUUGAGGCUCGAAAGCGUGGGGAGCAAACAGGAUUAGAUACCCGUGUAGUC
Molecule: ribosomal RNA, 440 nt
Filed under: uncultured bacterium
Lineage: Bacteria
Description: partial 16S ribosomal RNA
Rfam family: Bacterial small subunit ribosomal RNA
Source: RNAcentral